UUAGACGGUUAUAACCGUCUACAGCCGAAUCCUAUUGUAUAAAUACUUCUUAUUGUAUUCUCUUACCUUAAGAAUGAAUAUUACCAAGUUGAUUCCCUUUUUGAUAUUCAUUUGUUAUCUUCAUUUGUUUCCCUCGGCAUCAUGUUCACCGACAAGCAUGAUAUCCUUUUUGUGCGUCUUAAUGGAAAAAAAUCUACUCUACAUGGGCGUUUCACCUCCAGAUUUUUGUCAAAGGAAAAUAGCUUUGGGGUCAUGUCAAUGAAAGCGAUUUUGCCCUUGAGAAGACGCAGAAGGAUGCCUAUGCCAAGUGGGAAGUCAAAGAUGCACAAGUCAUGGCAUGGAUCAUAGGUUCUGUUGAUCCUAAUAUCGUUCUCCGACCUUUCGCUACGACAGCAAAGAUGUGGGACUACUUGAAGGAAAUAUACAGCCAAGUCUAUAAAGCUUGAACAUGAAAUCGCAAUUUUUCAACAAGAAAAUCUUUCUAUUUCUGAGUUUUAUCCUCAUUUUAUGAAUCUUUGGGCUGAAUACACUGACUCUAUCUAUAAAGAUUUGUCAAGUGAUGGACAAAUUACUGUGCAAAAAGUUCAUGAGAUUACCAAACGCGAUCAAUUUUUGAUGAAAUUGAGAUCUGAUUUUGAGGGACUAAGGUCCAAUCUCAUGAACCGAGCUACUGCCCCAUCCUUGGAUACUUGUCUCAAUGAGCUUCUUCGUGAGGAACAACGUCUUCUCACUCAGACAACCAUAGAACAACAAAAGGCUGUUUCUCUCCUUGUGACAUAUGUUGUACAAGGCCGACCUCGUGGGCGAGACAUGAGUACUGUCCAAUGUUUCUGUUGCAAAGGACAUAGACAUUUUGCUUCCGACUGUCCUAAAAAGUUCUGUAAUUACUGCAAAAGGAUGGUCAUAUCAUUAAAGAAUGUCCGACCAGACCACCGAAGAAAACUGCAACAACCUUCACUGCAUCUGUUGGUCCUUCUACAGCUCCCAUUUAUGUGAACCAGAAUCCGCAUUCCACCAUUCCAGCCUUAACCCCCUGAAAUGGUUCAACAAAUGAUCAUUUCAGCCUUUUCUGCUUUGGGUCUUUCAGGAUCAACAAUCAGGGAAGAUGAUUGCGACGGGGCCUAAAGUUUGACGUCUUUUUCCUUUUUAUUCACUGAAGUCCCCAUGUUCUUUUAUGUCUUUUAUUUCUUGUAAUUCUGCAAUUGUUGAUUUUCAAACAUGGCAUAAGCAUCUUGGUCACCUUAACUCAAAUGUCCUUUAUGACUUGAUGAAAUCUGCAGUUCUUGGCAAUAAAAAUUCCCCAUCUCUCAGGGCUAUUCAAUUUGAUUGCAUUUCUUGUAAACUUGGUAAAAGUAAAAUUCUACCAUUUCUAAUUCAUCAAACAAAUGUAAAUCAACCUUUUGACAUGAUCCAUAGUGAUUUAUGGGGAAUAGCACUUGUUAUAUCU
This is a long non-coding RNA of Cicer arietinum (chickpea), 1447 nucleotides long. RefSeq lists it as uncharacterized. Lineage: Eukaryota; Viridiplantae; Streptophyta; Magnoliopsida; Fabales; Fabaceae. The record is from RefSeq and is a predicted model, not a curated record.